UGAGACAGGUGCUGCAUGGCUGUCGUCAGCUCGUGUUGUGAAAUGUUGGGUUAAGUCCCGCAACGAGCGCAACCCUUAUCCUUUGUUGCCAGCGAUUCGGUCGGGAACUCAAAGGAGACUGCCGGUGAUAAACCGGAGGAAGGUGGGGAUGACGUCAAGUCAUCAUGGCCCUUACGAGUAGGGCUACACACGUGCUACAAUGGCGCAUACAAAGAGAAGCGACCUCGCGAGAGCAAGCGGACCUCAUAAAGUGCGUCGUAGUCCGGAUCGGAGUCUGCAACUCGACUCCGUGAAGUCGGAAUCGCUAGUAAUCGUGGAUCAGAAUGCCACGGUGAAUACGUUCCCGGGCCUUGUACACACCGCCCGUCACACCAUGGGAGUGGGUUGCAAAAGAAGUAGGUAGCUUAACCUUCCGGGAGGGCGCUUACCACU
RNAcentral lists this ribosomal RNA (432 nucleotides) under Pantoea sp. RNAcentral's name for it is "bacterial SSU rRNA". It matches the Rfam family "Bacterial small subunit ribosomal RNA", at positions 1030 to 1461 of the family's 1533-position model. The record is from RNAcentral. Lineage: Bacteria; Pseudomonadati; Pseudomonadota; Gammaproteobacteria; Enterobacterales; Erwiniaceae.